Molecule: ribosomal RNA, 501 nt
Filed under: uncultured bacterium
Lineage: Bacteria
Description: partial 16S ribosomal RNA
Rfam family: Bacterial small subunit ribosomal RNA
Source: RNAcentral
AUUGAACGCUGGCGGCAGGCCUAACACAUGCAAGUCGAGCGGGGGAAGGUAGCUUGCUACCGGACCUAGCGGCGGACGGGUGAGUAAUGCUUAGGAAUCUGCCUAUUAGUGGGGGACAACAUCUCGAAAGGGAUGCUAAUACCGCAUACGUCCUACGGGAGAAAGCAGGGGAUCUUCGGACCUUGCGCUAAUAGAUGAGCCUAAGUCGGAUUAGCUAGUUGGUGGGGUAAAGGCCUACCAAGGCGACGAUCUGUAGCGGGUCUGAGAGGAUGGUCCGCCACACUGGGACUGAGACACGGCCCAGACUCCUACGGGAGGCAGCAGUGGGGAAUAUUGGACAAUGGGGGGAACCCUGAUCCAGCCAUGCCGCGUGUGUGAAGAAGGCCUUAUGGUUGUAAAGCACUUUAAGCGAGGAGGAGGCUACUUUAGUUAAUACCUAGAGAUAGUGGACGUUACUCGCAGAAUAAGCACCGGCUAACUCUGUGCCAGCAGCCGCAGUAA